This 411-nucleotide ribosomal RNA is filed under the name Actinomycetes bacterium. RNAcentral describes it as "Actinobacteria bacterium partial 16S ribosomal RNA". It matches the Rfam family "Bacterial small subunit ribosomal RNA", at positions 355 to 776 of the family's 1533-position model. Lineage: Bacteria; Bacillati; Actinomycetota; Actinomycetes. The record is from RNAcentral.
UGGGGAAUAUUGCACAAUGGGCGCAAGCCUGAUGCAGCGACGCCGCGUGGGGGAUGACGGCCUUCGGGUUGUAAACUCCUUUCGCUAGGGACGAAGCUUUUUGUGACGGUACCUAGAUAAGAAGCACCGGCUAACUACGUGCCAGCAGCCGCGGUAAUACGUAGGGUGCGAGCGUUGUCCGGAAUUACUGGGCGUAAAGGGCUCGUAGGUGGUUUGUCGCGUCGUCUGUGAAAUUCCGGGGCUUAACUCCGGGCGUGCAGGCGAUACGGGCAUAACUUGAGUACUGUAGGGGUAACUGGAAUUCCUGGUGUAGCGGUGAAAUGCGCAGAUAUCAGGAGGAACACCGAUGGCGAAGGCAGGUUACUGGGCAGUUACUGACGCUGAGGAGCGAAAUCAUGGGUAGCGAACAGG